CGGGUGAGUAAUGCGUGACCAACCUGCCCCAUGCUCCAGAAUAGCUCUUGGAAACGGGUGGUAAUGCUGGAUGCUCCAACUUGACGCAUGUCUUGUUGGGAAAGUGUUUAGUGGCAUGGGAUGGGGUCGCGUCCUAUCAGCUUGUAGGCGGGGUAAUGGCCCACCUAGGCUUCGACGGGUAGCCGGCCUGAGAGGGCGGACGGCCACAUUGGGACUGAGAUACGGCCCAGACUCCUACGGGAGGCAGCAGUC
This 252-nucleotide ribosomal RNA is filed under the name uncultured Gardnerella sp. Its description in RNAcentral is "partial 16S ribosomal RNA". It matches the Rfam family "Bacterial small subunit ribosomal RNA", at positions 103 to 355 of the family's 1533-position model. Lineage: Bacteria; Bacillati; Actinomycetota; Actinomycetes; Bifidobacteriales; Bifidobacteriaceae. The record is from RNAcentral.